This 335-nucleotide long non-coding RNA is filed under the name Androctonus crassicauda. The record is from RNAcentral. Lineage: Eukaryota; Metazoa; Arthropoda; Arachnida; Scorpiones; Buthidae.
CCAGCUAAUGAUUAAAAGUGCAAAUUGGCAAUUCUAUUGUGUUAAAGAUUCGUUCCAAAAAACUAUAUAUUAGAGAAUUAAAGAUUUGUUUCUUACCAAUUGAUAAUUAAAAUCUGAAUCAACUAUUCUGUUGUAUGAAAGAUUCAUUUCAAAAUUAUAUUGGCUUUCAAGACUGGUCUUCAAAAUGGUGGUGUGCACUGGUUUGGAUACUGCGUGUGGAGAAAUACUAUGGGUUUAUCAUUCAUUUUCUCAAGGUUGUACCAAAUAGAAGUGCAAUGUUUUUGGAAAGUUUUCUCUACUCAUUGUCGUCUUUUGAUUGGCGCUAUUUUCGUUCA